RNAcentral lists this ribosomal RNA (245 nucleotides) under uncultured bacterium. RNAcentral describes it as "partial 16S ribosomal RNA". It matches the Rfam family "Bacterial small subunit ribosomal RNA", at positions 111 to 353 of the family's 1533-position model. The record is from RNAcentral.
UAACACGUGGGUAACCUGCCUUAUAUGGGGGAUAGCCUUUCGAAAGGAAGAUUAAUACCGCAUAAGAUUGUAGUAUCGCAUGAUAUAGCAAUUAAAGGAGCAAUUCGCUAUAAGAUGGACCCGCGUCGCAUUAGCUAGUUGGUGAGGUAAUGGCUCACCAAGGCGACGAUGCGUAGCCGACCUGAGAGGGUGAUCGGCCACAUUGGGACUGAGACACGGCCCAGACUCCUACGGGAGGCAGCAUG